ACAUUUCAUAUAUUAAUAAGAGCAAUUUUACGGUUCUUGAGGAGGUACCAUGAGGUACCAAUUUUUCUAUGGUAAAUUUGGUACCUCUUGGUACCUAGGUACUAUGAGGUACCAUGAGGUACCAAAUUUUACACUAAAUUUUUGGUACCUCAUGGUACCUCCUCAAGGACCGUAGAAUUGCUCUAUUAAUAAAAUUCCAG
Molecule: unclassified non-coding RNA, 200 nt
Filed under: Oryza sativa (Asian cultivated rice)
Lineage: Eukaryota; Viridiplantae; Streptophyta; Magnoliopsida; Poales; Poaceae
Description: partial microRNA MIR440b-16-as precursor
Source: RNAcentral